Molecule: transfer RNA, 94 nt
Filed under: Ornithorhynchus anatinus (platypus)
Lineage: Eukaryota; Metazoa; Chordata; Mammalia; Monotremata; Ornithorhynchidae
Rfam family: tRNA
About the family: Transfer RNA (tRNA) molecules are approximately 80 nucleotides in length. Their secondary structure includes four short double-helical elements and three loops (D, anti-codon, and T loops).
Source: Rfam by way of RNAcentral
CCUUCGAUAGCUCAGCUGGUAGAGCGGAGGACUGUAGCAUGAUUACCUCGUGGCAGUGAUCCUUAGGUCGCUGGUUCGAUUCCGGCUCGAAGGA